Long non-coding RNA from Carassius auratus (goldfish), 1909 nucleotides. The record is from Ensembl. Lineage: Eukaryota; Metazoa; Chordata; Actinopteri; Cypriniformes; Cyprinidae.
AUGCCUGGGGUGACUUGCGUGGAGCGAUGGCCUCGCUGUGGCGCUCCAAAGAGGCGACCAACAGUGAGGAAGUCAAUGCGCCAUUGUGUAUCGAGUUCGUCGGCUACAUUUUUGGAUAGAUUAUCCCGCGAGAUCUCGCUUUCUUCCGGAAGUUCCCUUCCGGAAGUUCUGGUACAUCAAGCAGGCAACCACCACGAGGAGGAGAGGACUCGAAGAGGGCUCUUGGAGGGAGAUUUGUCGAUAUAAAUUACAUAAAAUCUACCAUGGGGUAAGUACAUUUUGUAUUAUUUGAUUAAUGUGCUUGAGUUUUAGUUGUUUGACACGAAGGAACCGAGAGAAAUGAUGCCCACGUUGUCAACUGAAAUUCACUGAGUAUGGCUAAAAUUAGCUAACGUUAGAAGGCUAAAAGUUACUUAUAUUGAUGUGAUUUUUAUUUGUACGCUUUAAUUAAUUAUUCAGGGGACAACACAGCUCUCCUGUCUUAUCAGAAAUGUCCUGUUCACUUUCUCACAGUUACACUGUGAGUGUUUCUCAAGGGCAUCACAUUAAAGCAUAACACCUUUUGUAUAAUAAAAAUAAAAUCUAAUGCUUGUUGAUUACCUUUUUUUCCUAAUGUUUCAUUCAUGAUUCAUUCAUCUUGGUCCAAGGGUUUUUUUUUUAGUUGUAGACCAUAAAGAUAUUUUGAAAAUAAGUGCAUGUCAUUUAUCUCAAAUGUUUUAUUUUAUUUAUUUUAAAAAGAAAUGUGUUCUCUUCCCUCAGAUGCUGUGAAGAGGUGGAGACUCUGAAUGGGAUGCAGCAAUGACAGAACACCUGAAGCUAGCUCCGGGAAGAGAUGGGGGUGUAGGUUACAAGAAAUGAGCCAAACAACUGUAAUGUGUUUAAGGGAUAGUUCAUCCAAAAAUGAAAAUAGUCAUAAUUUUCUCACCCUCAUGUUACGAUCAUAAUAAUUUUUCCUACAGUGGCAGUUAAUGGAUUGUGAGAUCUGCUUGGUUACAAACAUUCUUCCAAAUAUCUGUGUGUUUAUGAGACAACUGUGUAAGUCAAUGACAAGAUUAAUAAAGAAUUGAUAAAAAGAAACCAUCUUUUAACAUUCUAGUAGAAAACAUUCUCAGAAAUGUAAUAUUUUAAUUAAUGUCGGUUCUAUACAGUUUAAAAACAUUUACCCCACUUUGAUUUCAUAAAUAGCAAUGAUUUCAAACAUAUUUUAUGAUGAGGGUCUUAUGUUUUAUGAUUUUCUUGUCACAAGACAACAAUGGCUCCUGCAAGGUGUUUAUGCCACAUGUUCAAAUAUUAAUAAUGUUCUUAAUCUUAUAUGAUUAAUGUAUUUUAAAAUAAAUGUAAUUAUUAUUGAUUUAUAUAUUAAAAACAUUAAUAAACACUGCAAAUAGAAAUUUUGAACAAUAAUAAUGGACUUUAAGAUUGAGUAUUUCAGCCCUUUUUAUUCAGUGAUGCCCCUCAUUAAAUCAUAUUUCUGAUGAAAAAAAUGGUAGGCCUGUAAACUUAUUUCAGAAAUCCAAAAUGGAUACAAAGAUAACAUUUGAAAAACAAAUUUUUAAAUAUAUUAUCAUCUUUAAGAUUCUUAUUUGUCAUUGUCCCAGUAAAGCAAACAUGAAAACAAUAGAACACAGAAAGGUAUACAGGUUUGAAACAUGAGUUUGAGUAAAUGAAAGAAUUUUCCCUUUAUAUAAUAAUUCAGUAUUUUGUAAUUAGUAUUUUAUUUUGGUUAACAGAUGCUAAACUGUUCAAAAACAAUAAAAUGUGCUAAAUCAGAACAUGCUUCUUUGUUUGCAUAUGACCACAAAUAAUGUGUUAUUGUUAGUGAUGUACACGUGAUUAAGAUGUUUUAUGGACGUUCAUGUCUGACUGGACCGAUCUUGAACUUCUGUCAAGAUGUGUUAAACCUCAAGAC